This 648-nucleotide small RNA is filed under the name uncultured fungus. RNAcentral describes it as "eukaryotic LSU rRNA". The stretch from base 270 to 423 matches the Rfam family "5.8S ribosomal RNA". The record is from RNAcentral. Lineage: Eukaryota; Fungi.
UAGAGGAAGUAAAAGUCGUAACUAGGUUUCCGUAGGUGAACCUGCGGAAGGAUCAUUAAUCGAACAAACAUGUUUCUCAGCAUGAUAUGUCAAACCCCACCUGCGUAUCUUACCUGUUGCUUCCGUGCCGCGCAUGCCGCAAACGUGUGCCUUGCGGUCCUCCGAGUAUCUACUACUCUCAGGGCCCGUGGGAGCCGGCACGGGAGGGAACCCACAAACUCUUGCCCUUUGWAUGCCUUCUGUCUGAACUGUAGUACACGAAAAGUUAAAACUUUCAACAACGGAUCUCUUGGUUCUCGCAUCGAUGAAGAACGCAGCGAAAUGCGAUAAGUAGUGUGAAUUGCAGAAUUCCGUGAAUCAUCGAAUCUUUGAACGCACAUUGCGCCUCCUGGUAAUCCGUGAGGCAUGCCUGUUCGAGCGUCACCAAAAUCAAAUCAACCACUCCGGUGAUUGGUCAUGGAGGAAGAGUCCGUCGUGUUGUGGUCUCCCCUCCCAAAAUAAAUGGCGGAAAGUUGCUGGCACUCGGUGUAGGAGAGUAUUAUUCGCCGAUUGUCCAGUGUCGUUCCUGCCGUCAAAUCCCCACAAUUAUCUUGAUUGACCUCGGAUCAGGUAGGGAUACCCGCUGAACUUAAGCAUAUCAAUAAGCGG